UCUACGGGAGGCAGCAGUGGGGAAUCUUCCGCAAUGGGCGCAAGCCUGACGGAGCAACGCCGCGUGGGGGACGAAGGCCUUCGGGUCGUAAACCCCUGUCAGUGGGGACGAGGGGCCGGGGGGUGAACAGCCCCCGGGCUUGACGGUACCCGCAGAGGAAGCCACGGCCAACUCCGUGCCAGCAGCCGCGGUAAUACGGAGGUGGCGAGCGUUGUUCGGAAUUACUGGGCGUAAAGGGCGCGUAGGCGGGGGGAGAAGUCGGGUGUGAAAGCCCUCGGCUCAACCGAGGAACGGCGCUCGAGACUCUCUCUCUUGAGUCCCGGAGAGGACGAUGGAAUUCCCGGUGUAGCGGUGAAAUGUGUAGAGAUCGGGAGGAACACCGGUGGCGCAGGCGGUCGUCUGGACGGUGACUGACGCUGAGGCGCGAAAGCGUGGGGAGCAAACGGGAUUAGAUACCCCGGUAGUCCACGCGGUAAACGAUGGGGGCUAGGUGUGGGGGGUAUCGACCCCCUCCGUGCCGAAGCUAACGCAUUAAGCCCCCCGCCUGGGGAGUACGGCCGCAAGGUUGAAACUCAAAUGAAUUGACGGA
RNAcentral lists this ribosomal RNA (589 nucleotides) under uncultured bacterium. RNAcentral's name for it is "partial 16S ribosomal RNA". It matches the Rfam family "Bacterial small subunit ribosomal RNA", at positions 338 to 917 of the family's 1533-position model. The record is from RNAcentral.